AAAACAUCGCCUCCUGCAACAUAACCAAGUAUAGGAGGUCCAGCCUGCCCAGUGACCGCAAGUUUAACGGCCGCGGUAUUUUGACCGUGCAAAGGUAGCGCAAUCACUUGUCUUUUAAAUAAAGACCUGUAUGAAUGGCUAAACGAGGGCUUAACUGUCUCCCCUUUCAAGUCAGUGAAAUUGAUUUAUCCGUGCAGAAGCGGGUAUAAUAAUACAAGACGAGAAGACCCUUUGGAGCUUAAGGCAUAAACUCAAUCACGUCAAGCAACUCAAUAAAAAGUAAUUUUUAAACCUUGUGUUAAAUGAGACCAUUGCCUUCGGUUGGGGCGACCACGGAGGAAAAGAAAGCCUCCAAGUGGAAAGGGGCAAUACCCUAAAACCAAGAGAGACAUCUCUAAGCCACAAAACAUUUGACCAUAAAUGAUCCGGCUAACCAUGACCGAUCAACGAACCAAGUUACCCUAGGGAUAACAGCGCAAUCCUCUCCUAAAGUCCAUAUCGACGAGAGGGUUUACGACCUCGAUGUUGGAUCAGGACAUCCUAAUGGUGCAGCCGCUAUUAAGGGUUCGUUUGUUCAACGAUUAAAGUCCUACGUGA
This 597-nucleotide ribosomal RNA is filed under the name Enteromius fasciolatus (African banded barb). Its description in RNAcentral is "partial 16S ribosomal RNA". It matches the Rfam family "Bacterial large subunit ribosomal RNA", at positions 1810 to 2603 of the family's 2925-position model. The record is from RNAcentral. Lineage: Eukaryota; Metazoa; Chordata; Actinopteri; Cypriniformes; Cyprinidae.